Long non-coding RNA from Lactuca sativa (garden lettuce), 1464 nucleotides. RefSeq lists it as uncharacterized. Lineage: Eukaryota; Viridiplantae; Streptophyta; Magnoliopsida; Asterales; Asteraceae. The record is from RefSeq and is a predicted model, not a curated record.
GAACCCACGAGGGAACCCAGUGAUGUUUUUGGUACGUCCCGGGUGCUCACUUGUGAUGAGCCUUUAGAUUUGGCACAUUUUUUCUCUUUGCCUAUCUGUCCAUCAUGGUAUGUGUAUGACAUAUUUUCAUCUUGAAGUUUUUUUGUUGCAGAUCCAUUUGAAAGUCAUAUAUUCAGCACAACAUACACCACACAGCAAUAUUCAGUUUUUUUUUUGUUGAUUGGACAGAUGUUUAAAGUAGAUAUGAAAAUAUCUCGACACCACCACCAUUGGGCUGGUCGCAUCCAGUUCCAAUGCCUCAACAUUAAGAAUAAUUUGCGCCAAGGUUUUAUCAAGUGCUCCGAUCUGGUAAAACCUUCAAUUGGAUUUCUAGAUUUGUUUAAUUUAAUUUUUUUUUUGCCAUCCUUGAUUUUUAUUUGUGUUAUAAAUCCUAUUGGAACUGCAUUUUCAUCUUCUUUAUGUAAUAGUGAGGAUGUUGAUUUCGUUAAGCACUUAAGUUGUUAUGUUGCUCAAAGUGUUUAAUACAUUUAGAAUCCGGUCAAACAUAGUGUGCAUGUUCUAGGCUUGAAGAGUAAAGUACUGAAAGAAUCCAUUAGGACAUGACUGUUAGUAAAUUGCAAGUUUUGCUAACCUUAUUUGAUCAUUUCAUUUGUUUAAUGGGGAUUAAGGUCAUAUAUUUGGUGUUUCUUUUUUACUUUUAGUUUACACAUGCCAUCUGUUUAAUAUAAUGUCUGUGUGAAGGUUAGACUUCUUUAUUAAAAUUUUAAAGGGUGUAAAGGUGACAUGAAGCAAAACCAUCAAAGCCUAAUCUUAAUCUUGAAACAUGAACCCAACAGCACCUGAGUUUGUCUCACACACCGCUUUUAAUUAAAUACAUAUAAAUACUCUACUCUCAUCAUCCAAAUCUUCAAUCCCACUUCGUAUUCUGCAAAAACAAACUAAAGGAAUCAUCAUCACCUUAUAUUUUCUAACAGUUGUGCACUAUUUGUCAUAUAAUGCCUUCAGUUGACGAAAAGCUUGCCAUGGCCAAGAGUUGCUCUCAUGAGGGAGUAGUUGUAGGAGCUAAGUUAGUUGUGUAAACCACCAUUGCCACCGCUAUUCCAACUAUGGCAAGUGCAAGAAUAAAAAAACAAAGCAUAAAAAAACUACACCUUUUAGCUACUCAUGCAUGCCUAUGGAGACCAAACAACCACAUGAUCAUUUGCUAUCAAAGCACUGAUGAAUAAAAAACAAAGCAUAAAAAACUGUCCGAACUUUCACGGCUCAUACAUAAUAAUUUUGAUAUGGCUGAUGAAUAUGGUUUAGUUUUUUGAAGGUACAAAUGAAUUGCAAUGGUUGGUUUAAAGUACAAGAAAUUUUAGAUAUGAUAAAUAGGAUGGGUUUUAAGAUUUGAGAAAGUUAACCGUGACCAAAAAUAAGUUAUUAAUUAUAAUUUGUUUUGAGUUUUUUAUAUUUUAAAAUAUU